CCCAUCGAUGAAGAAUCACUCAUCUCCUACAUCCUGGCGGGACUCGACAUCGACUACAACCCACUGGUAUCUAGUGUUGUUGGUCGAUCUGAUCCUAUUUCUUAUUUCUUUAAGUGAUUUGUAUGCCCAGAUGGUCAGCUAUGACA
RNAcentral lists this small nucleolar RNA (146 nucleotides) under Leersia perrieri. RNAcentral's name for it is "Small nucleolar RNA Z247". It matches the Rfam family "Small nucleolar RNA Z247". Rfam says of the family: Z247 is a member of the C/D class of snoRNA which contain the C (UGAUGA) and D (CUGA) box motifs. Most of the members of the box C/D family function in directing site-specific 2'-O-methylation of substrate RNAs. The record is from Rfam by way of RNAcentral. Lineage: Eukaryota; Viridiplantae; Streptophyta; Magnoliopsida; Poales; Poaceae.